Long non-coding RNA from Pectinophora gossypiella (pink bollworm), 1178 nucleotides. RefSeq lists it as uncharacterized. The transcript has 2 exons. The record is from RefSeq and is a predicted model, not a curated record. NCBI's taxonomy places the organism in Eukaryota, Metazoa, Arthropoda, Insecta, Lepidoptera, Gelechiidae.
AUUGUCACGUGCUCAGCGAUGAAGGAAAACAUCGUGAGGAAACCCACAUUCCCGAGAAAUGCAUUUUCGGAGGUAUGUGACCUAACCUGUAUUGGGCUGGUUUUCCCUUCGCGGGUUGGAAGGUCAGACAGGCAGUCGCUUCUGUAAAAAACCGGACCUGUCAAAUGUUCAGGUUAGGUAAGCGGACCCUGUGGAAAACGGGAUAAUGCUAGGGGGCUGGGUUUGCUCUUGACGCCAUUCCGCCUCUGAUAAGCCUGAAUGAGGUGAAUGUGGACGGUGUAACGAGCUAGUGUUUAACGAAGGUAUGAGUCCGCGCCACGGAAGAAAGCCUAGGUAUGGAAUAAGGAAUAAUACUAUGUAUGGACCGGCAUCUCUGCGCUCCCCACCAGCGUCUGAGCUAGGCUUACCUCACCCACACUCUUUCUCCUCACUUUCUCUUCUCACUUUAGUCUCCAAUAGUAUAGCGUCAGACGUCAGACACACGAAUCCGCGUGUACGAUAACGUCAUUGGCCCCGAUUCCUGCCAAGAGGAAUGAUAAUUUUAAAAGGAAUUAAAUAGCAACCCGGGCGAAUCAAAUAGGCAUCUCGCUGGUAUGUUUAGUUUGACUAGUGAUGUCAACUUAUACUGUCGGGUUACCAAUGUAAAGUUUGGCGAGGGUUGUUUAAGAUUUCGGCCUAAAAUAACUUUACUUAUAAAUUUUAUAUGCCUGUCGAUUGCCCGUCCCUUUUCUUUUCGGCGGAUAAAAAAAUGACAGAAGUCAAUUAUCAUGACUUCAUCCAUGGCGCGGACUCCACCUUACAGACACCCCGCUAGCCACAAGUUGAUGGUGGAACUAGGAAUCGACGAUCAAACGGUUCUGGUUGUGUAUAUGCGUCGCGCUGUGUAAACUUCGUUAGCGCGUUUUAGGACUCGAUAAGCGCCAUCUAUGAUGAAUGUGCGGAACUAGUAGAUCCGCCACGGAGUCUCAUAGAAAAUUUCAUUUAUAAGGAUUGAUAAGCGAAGGAGCAUAAUAUUUGAAAGCUCAUUUACCCAAUGUAUGAAAAGAAAAAUAGAAGGUGUUCCAUUUUGUUAUAGGAAAAUAAAGGUAGUUAUGAUUUUAAAGUACAAUAAGCUGCAAAAGUCCAGUUUUUUUGCAAAGUAAUAAAUUAACUGCUUGCACUUAAGACCUCUGGUUACA